GACGAACGCUGGCGGCGUGCUUAACACAUGCAAGUCGAACGGAAAGGCCCUGCUUUUGUGGGGUGCUCGAGUGGCGAACGGGUGAGUAACACGUGAGUAACCUGCCCUUGACUUUGGGAUAACUUCAGGAAACUGGGGCUAAUACCGGAUAGGAGCUCCUGCUGCAUGGUGGGGGUUGGAAAGUUUCGGCGGUUGGGGAUGGACGCGCGGCUUAUCAGCUUGUUGGUGGGGUAGUGGCUUACCCAGGCUUUGACGGGUAGCCGGCCUGAGAGGGUGACCGGCCACAUUGGGACUGAGAUACGGACCAGACUCCUACGGGAGGCAGCAGUGGGGAAUAUUGCACAAUGGGCGGAAGCCUGAUGCAGCAACGCCGCGUGCGGGAUGACGGCCUUCGGGUUGGAAACCGCUUUCGCCUGUGACGAAGCGUGAGUGACGGUAAUGGGUAAAGAAGCACCGGCUAACUACGUG
RNAcentral lists this ribosomal RNA (468 nucleotides) under uncultured bacterium. RNAcentral's name for it is "partial 16S ribosomal RNA". It matches the Rfam family "Bacterial small subunit ribosomal RNA", at positions 28 to 507 of the family's 1533-position model. The record is from RNAcentral.